CCGGUCUUUAUCUCGCUCAUAGACAAACACUGCAACCCGUUUUAUUUUUAGGUUUUUACUGUCUGUCUUUUUCUCGCGAUUUAUUGACAGAAUUCUCCUCACACGCAAUCCCUCAUCCCAGCAUAGUUACUCUAUCUCUCUCGAAACUUUAUCUACAGAGGGGACUAUCGAUCAGACAUUAGGUCGCAUACGUAUGCAACUAUAAACUACUUUCCAGGGGUCAUAAAGUUUCGAGAGAGAUAGAGUAACUAUGCUGGGAUGAGGGAUUGCGUGUGAGGAGAAUUCUGUCAAUAAAUCGCGAGAAAAAGACAGACAGUAAAAACCUAAAAAUAAAACGGGUUGCAGUGUUUGUCUAUGAGCGAGAUAAAGACCGGGUUAGGAUAGAUACGUAUAAUCAUUCUAGCAGAACAACUCUAUAUUGCGAAUAGAAGGUUAAUAACGAAAACAUAUUGCUAGAAUCAACAGUCGCAAGACAAAAGGCGUUUGUUCUUUUUGAGCGAUGAGAUAGAAGCAAUUUGUAAUAUAGCAUGCG
RNAcentral lists this long non-coding RNA (532 nucleotides) under Salmo salar (Atlantic salmon). Its description in RNAcentral is "lncRNA (ENSSSAG00000116011.1, ENSSSAG00020016034.1, ENSSSAG00075028934.1)". The record is from RNAcentral. Lineage: Eukaryota; Metazoa; Chordata; Actinopteri; Salmoniformes; Salmonidae.